CCUACGGGUGGCAGCAGUGAGGAAUAUUGGUCAAUGGCCGGAAGGCUGAACCAGCCAAGCCGCGUGAAGGACGAAGGUGCUACGCAUUGUAAACUUCUUUUGUCAAGGGACAAAAUCAGGCUCGAGAGCCUGACCGAGGGUACUUGAAGAAAAAGCAUCGGCUAACUCCGUGCCAGCAGCCGCGGUAAUACGGAGGAUGCGAGCGUUAUCCGGAUUUAUUGGGUGUAAAGGGUGCGUAGGCGGGCUGUUAAGUCAGCGGUAAAAGCCCGGGGCUCAACCCCGGCACGCCGUUGAACCUGGCUUGCUUGAGUGGUCGAGAGGUAUGCGGAAUGCGCGGUGUAGCGGUGAAAUGCUUAGAUAUUGCGCAGAACUCCGAGUGCGAAGGCAGCAUACCGGCGGCGAUCUGACGCUGAGGCACGAAAGCGUGGGUAUCGAACAGGAUUAGAUACCCGAGUAGUC
Molecule: ribosomal RNA, 459 nt
Filed under: uncultured bacterium
Lineage: Bacteria
Description: partial 16S ribosomal RNA
Rfam family: Bacterial small subunit ribosomal RNA
Source: RNAcentral